GACGAACGCUGGCGGCGUGCUUAACACAUGCCAGUCGAACGGAAAGGCCCUGCUUUGGUGGGGUGCUCGAGUGGCGAACGGGUGAGUAACACGUGAGUAACCUGCCCUGGACUUUGGGAUAACUUCAGGAAACUGGGGCUAAUACCGGAUAGGAGCUCCGGCUGCAUGGUGGGGGUUGGAAAGUUUCGGCGGUUGGGGAUGGACUCGCGGCUUAUCAGCUUGUUGGUGGGGUAGUGGCUUACCAAGGCUUUGACGGGUAGCCGGCCUGAGAGGGUGACCGGCCACAUUGGGACUGAGAUACGGCCCAGACUCCUACGGGAGGCAGCAGUGGGGAAUAUUGCACAAUGGGCGGAAGCCUGAUGCAGCAACGCCGCGUGCGGGAUGACGGCCUUCGGGUUGUAAACCGCUUUCGCCUGUGACGAAGCGUGAGUGACGGUAAUGGGUAAAGAAGCACCGGCUAACUACGUG
This 468-nucleotide ribosomal RNA is filed under the name uncultured bacterium. RNAcentral's name for it is "partial 16S ribosomal RNA". It matches the Rfam family "Bacterial small subunit ribosomal RNA", at positions 28 to 507 of the family's 1533-position model. The record is from RNAcentral.